AUAGCGUAUAUUAAAGUUGUUGCAGUUAAAAAGCUCGUAGUUGAAUUUCGGGAUCAUCAUGUCGGUCGUGCCUCGGUACGUACUGGCAUUGUUGGUUUCUACCUUCUGACGAACCAUGAUGUCAUUUAUUUGGUGUCGUGGGAAAUCAGGACUGUUACUUUGAAAAAAUUAGAGUGUUUAAAGCAGGCUCACGCUUGAAUACAUUAGCAUGGAAUAAUGAAAUAGGACGUUUGAUUCUAUUUUGUUGGUUUCUAGGAUCGACGUAAUGAUUAAUAGGGAUAGUUGGGGGCAUUAGUAUUCAAUUGUCAGAGGUGAAAUUCUUGGAUUUAUUGAAGACUAACUACUG
RNAcentral lists this ribosomal RNA (346 nucleotides) under uncultured eukaryote. RNAcentral's name for it is "SSU rRNA". It matches the Rfam family "Eukaryotic small subunit ribosomal RNA", at positions 594 to 945 of the family's 1831-position model. The record is from RNAcentral.